CUUUCACUCACUCACGUCCUAAUUGUGCAGCAUAUCUCGGACACACUAGCAUUUCUUGCCUCCAAACACGCUCUUAAAUAAUAAUAAUAAUAAUAAGAAGAAGAAAUAAUGAUAAGAAAAAACAACAAGAAUAAAUACGAAUUCUGCUCAUUUUAAUCUUAUUUUGCUAAUGCUUGCAGAGAACCCAAAAUACCCGCAGUUUUUAAACUUAUUUCUCACCCAGAAAUCUUACAAUGUUUAUGCCAAUCAACAUUUACAUGUAAUGCUUUCGCCAGCAGAUGGCAGUAUGAACUUUUUGGUCACAAUAAAAGAGGGGGGAUCUUUGCUCUUUGUUGUUUAUAGUCCUGUGUACGUGCUGUGUUCUGUUUAUUCAUCUAGAUAGAGCAUGUCCUAUAGUCUAAAUAUUUUUAUAUUAUUCCCUGUAUAGCUGUUGAGUAUGUUCUUACUUUGUCUUAUUUGUACUUUAUUUUUGAAAUUUAUAUUAGUUGUUUCAGUUCUAUUUUUCUUUUAAUUUCAUAUUGUGCGUUACGUGCAAAAAAACAUCACGUUUAUAUACACAGGAAGAACAAUUACAUUACAUGUCAUUUAGCAGAUGCUUUUAUUCAAAGCGACUUACAAGGGAAUCUUGGUUGUCAUGCAGGGAAUGAAAGGGAAGUUUCCUCAGCAUCCUCCUCUCUGGUUGUUAUGACAACAGUUUUUUUUUUUACAGCUAAACUUAAGUCCAAAUUGCACCAUAACCACACUGGGCGGUUUCUAUUGGCAGCUCUAUACGGUUCCAGGUCAGAGCCUUGCUGCUGAUAAUGGAUGCUGGUGUCUUUAUAGUGUGUUUGUGUCCAAUCCAGCUUCAUUUCCUCCUCAGGAUGUGCCUGCCAACUUUGUCUUAUCCCUCUCAGCAUCAGACAGGGUUGGCUCAAACCCCGCCCUGGACCCACGUGUGGACGAAGAAGUGGAAGAAAAUGUUUGAGUGGAUGCCAGAUGUAACCAUAGCAACACUGUUGUAGUAAAACUAAACCACACU
This is a long non-coding RNA of Solea solea (common sole), 1018 nucleotides long. RefSeq lists it as uncharacterized. The transcript has 3 exons. The record is from RefSeq and is a predicted model, not a curated record. Lineage: Eukaryota; Metazoa; Chordata; Actinopteri; Pleuronectiformes; Soleidae.